Molecule: long non-coding RNA, 1622 nt
Organism: Equus asinus (donkey)
Lineage: Eukaryota; Metazoa; Chordata; Mammalia; Perissodactyla; Equidae
Source: Ensembl
GGAGGAGCAGAAAGAAGGCCAGAGUGGCUGGAGAUCGUAAUGGGGAGAGAGUUACAAGAUGAGAGACCAGCACCAGCUGAUGCGGCCAGGCCAGGUCCCAGAAGUGACUGUGUCAGGAUGGAGGGUGGCCCUGGGCAUCCUGCCAUUGAAAGCUGAUUGGAGCUGGACCAGCUUAGGCCAGUCUAGAGCUGAGGAGUAUCAUCAAGAGCAGGACCCUCUGGAAUGUGGCUGUUUGUGGAAAGAGCCAGAAGAACCCAGAGCGGGUAGAGGAAAUGUCUUCCUCCCCUACAGUGAUGUCAGAGGCCAUGUCUGCUUUGGUCAUGCUUGUCCCCUCCACACCUGACACAGUGCCCAGCACCCACCGAGUAUUGAUUGAGUGGAUGGACGGAUGCACGUUGGAGCUGAGACCCAGACUGGCCCACGUCCUCCCACACCUGCAUCCUAAGACUGCCAGCCUGGUUGGAAAAGCUGAUCAUAUCCGGGCUAGAGAUGCUCCUUAUCAAAGUCAAGGCCAAGAUCCAUGGGAAAGGAUCAGGUCACAGCAAAGGAUCCAGAGGAGCAAAUUCCCUUCCAUGAGGCAGAUGUGACCCAGCGAUUCCACUCCAGGCGUGACCAAGUGCUGAUUCCUCGUCUCCAUGAAAGGCAUUGUAGCAGGUGCAAAACCCGGAGAUUAUCCCAAGAAUUAAGAUAUGAAAAGCGUGUUAGAUCACUAAACUCCAAUUAGGGAAAUGAAAUUGUGCGCAUUCCCCUCCUAACACAAUAUCGGGGGCCUGCAUCAGCUCUGGGUGCUGGGUCUAAUGAAAUUAGAGAAUAACACUUUAAUUGAAUUGUGCUUAAAAGGAUCAUGCUGACAAAUGUGAUUGUAUCUGUCUGGGAUGCACACCUUCUCCGGCAAUCAUUAAAUCCAAUGAAAUGCUAGUCUCAGGAUCGCGACAGUUUCUGAAGCAAUCUGUGAACCGUGCUGUAUCUCGGAGCAUCUAAUCAAUUUAGAGCCGCCUCAUUAGGACUUGGCUGCUAACGGAUACUUAAAAAUCAAAGCAAAUUACUGCACUCCGUGGAUAACUAGCUAAUCAUAUCGAUACAACAUGGCUGGAUUGUGUUGCAACAAUUCAUUUCCUCUUUAAGAAGCCACUGUCACCCAUAAUUUAGGGAUUGAGAUUCAUAAGCCUGAUGCAGACAGCUCCCAUGUCAAGGAUUUUCCUGAACUCAACAGCAAGGGGUGCAUGCCACCCCAGCAAUUGUCAUGCGGUAGGACUGCUCAUCCUGGCCCCCUGCGGCUAGAUGGAUCAGGAGACCAGUUCUGGCCAAUGAGUGUGAACAGAAGGGACCUGUGUUAUUUAUGGGCCCAAGCAUGAUUGCUGGGUCAAGAUCUCCAUCAUUCUUUUCCCCUCCAGCUCAUAAACCAGCAACACUUGAGGUGGGAGCUUUUCUGAAUACAAUGAGCCGAAACUCCUCGCCCACCCACAAUGGACUUGUCGCGUGAGUGAGAAAUAAACUUGAGUUAUUGGAAGCCACUGAGCUGUUGGGGUUGUCUGUUACUGCAGGAGAACCUCGCUUGUGCUGACUGGUAGAAUUCUCACCCCUAUUUCACAGAGGAGGAAACUAAAGCACAUGGAGAUGAA